UGAAGGCCGAAAAUGUUUUAGCCCUAAAAGUCUAAAACUCAUGUCUUCUUCCUUUCGUUUGGUCCGAAAUAGCAACAUCAGUAUAUCACGGCACCAGGCCACCACCUAGUCACAUACUCUGCCUUAUUCCUUUCGUUUCCUGGUAGCUUUUCCGGUAGAAAAGUCAAAACUUAAAAGGUUUCAGGAAAAUAUGCAUGAGGUAGGUGGAUACCUGGUUGGCCUCUUGAGGCAGCAGCAUAGAGACAAGCUGCAUGGUCAAAGAUGUUCAACAACCAUAAGGAAGUGUAAGUGUGAUCCAAAAGGAAAUUGACAAUGUUAAGAUGCCCGUAGUCACAGGCCAGAAACAAGGCGCUCUGGUUCUCAGAAUUGAGUUUGGCCGCCAUCCAUUUGUUGGCCUCCAUGAGCAGCCUGACCACACUGUACUGGCCCAUACGACACGCUUCGUGGAUCGGCGUCUCUGAGUUGAUGUUAUUCUCUUCGGUCACCAUUUGUGGUCUCAGUUCCAAAAUGAGUGACACCAUCUCCACAUGUCCGAGUCUUGAAGCCAGGUGUAACACAGUAGCAUUUUCCAUUCUUUUGUCGACCACGUGUUCAUCCUCUUCAACCAUUUUCCUAAACCCAGUAGUGUCGUUAUUUAUGAUUGCCUGUGUGACAACCCAAUCCAUUAAUACCAUAAUCUCUUGUCCCUCUAAUUAAGAUGGUGUGAACGAGUAUCUAAGAAAAAAGAUACCCAUGUGUAUCUCGCUCGCUGCUUUUAUAGCCACCAAGUAGAUUGAAACUUUCUGUCUAUAUGGUGUGAACAUAAAUUGAGAGCAGCUUCCUUCCGUUUUCCAAUUGUUUGAAUUGGGAAUUUCCAAGCAGCUUCCAAGUCCUUUCAUAUAUGUGUGAAGAUAAACUUAGAGCACCUUUUGAAUAAAGUUUCUAAAUUGGACCUAAGAUGCAUUGGAAGGAAGCAAUAAUUUAUUGUGGGAAAAGCUAAAUGGAAAUUGACACGAAACUCCAAACUCAAAAUCAAACACCAAAAUUAUUACGUCAGCAUCUUGAACUGGAACACCGGCAAAACAGCAUGUGAGCGGCUUAUUAUUCUUGAAGCUGAUUAUAUUGAACUAAGAGAUUAUGGAGCUCUCCUUUAUCACUAUGGAUUUUACAAGGAAUCCUUGAAAUACCUAAACUUAUAUCACGAUUCACAGAUUUUGAAGAAUUUUUCGAAAAUAUUGAAGAUGUGAAAAAUGAUAAUUGAAGAAAAUAUGGAAAUCUUGAUAUGAAGAAAUGAUAACACUGUGAAUGUUUGUAGUUUUUUUAUAUUUUAUUUUGUAUCGAAUAAAAUACUUGUAUUAUGUUUAUAGAUUGAUUAAUAAAAAUGAGCUUUU
Molecule: non-coding RNA, 1370 nt
Organism: Lactuca sativa (garden lettuce)
Lineage: Eukaryota; Viridiplantae; Streptophyta; Magnoliopsida; Asterales; Asteraceae
Source: RefSeq, a predicted model, not a curated record